UUGAUCCUGGCUCAGAUUGAACGCUGGCGGCAUGCCUUACACAUGCAAGUCGAACGGCAGCACGGGCUUCGGCCUGGUGGCGAGUGGCGAACGGGUGAGUAAUACAUCGGAACGUGCCCUGUAGUGGGGGAUAACUAGUCGAAAGAUUAGCUAAUACCGCAUACGACCUGAGGGUGAAAGCGGGGGACCGCAAGGCCUCGCGCUACAGGAGCGGCCGAUGUCUGAUUAGCUAGUUGGUGGGGUAAAAGCCUACCAAGGCGACGAUCAGUAGCUGGUCUGAGAGGACGAUCAGCCACACUGGGACUGAGACACGGCCCAGACUCCUACGGGAGGCAGCAGUGGGGAAUUUUGGACAAUGGGGGCAACCCUGAUCCAGCAAUGCCGCGUGUGUGAAGAAGGCCUUCGGGUUGUAAAGCACUUUUGUCCGGAAAGAAAUGGCUCUGGUUAAUACCUGGGGUCGAUGACGGUACCGGAAGAAUAAGCACCGGCUAACUACGUG
RNAcentral lists this ribosomal RNA (499 nucleotides) under Burkholderia sp. WL7B. RNAcentral describes it as "bacterial SSU rRNA". It matches the Rfam family "Bacterial small subunit ribosomal RNA", at positions 13 to 507 of the family's 1533-position model. The record is from RNAcentral. Lineage: Bacteria; Pseudomonadati; Pseudomonadota; Betaproteobacteria; Burkholderiales; Burkholderiaceae.